UUCAGUCCUCGGGUCUACACAGUAAUCCCUGAGCCACACCAUCCAGGGAAAAAUGCCCAUCUUCAUAUAGACUUUUAUAUAGAAUCAAGCUCUGUGAUAUCAAGUUCAGAAGUUUUACACCAUGUUUUCAGGAUAAGCUAAAGUGCAGAGACAAGCAACCACCCUCAAAGGUGCUUUUUCAAGCCUCUUAAUGAAUUUUAUAUAUAUGCACAUUGGAUUUUCUGUUAAGACAUAAAAAGCCUUCAGUGCAGUCUUCUGUAAUCAUGUGAUUUGAAAAAUUAUGACGAUCGUUAUUAGAGCUUUUCCUUGAGCAUCUUUAAUUAUUUCAGUAACCAUUCACAGUUCCUUCAUCCGAGAGAUUUUGGGCCAAAGUAUAGUGAUUAUCAGACUGAAGGAAAAAAGCUUCCUUGCUAUACUUACCACCUAACGUUUAUUAUGUGCUGAGUGUGAUCAAUUUUCACAUAUGUGUUAAUUGGCGUUACACUAAAGGACUGAACAGGAAAAGCUAUUUAACCUCAUCUUUAUUCACUUACCCUUGAAAUAUUGAAAUACUCCUGUCACGCUCCUCCUCGAAAAGCUGAACAUAAUGGCUUGAACCUUGUACAGAUCACCAUAGUUACUGGGCAUUCGUGGCAUUUUAUCCCUUACUGUGUUUUACUUUUACAUAUAAAUUCUUCAAAACUUUCUUUCCUGUGUUUUAUUAUAUCAUUUUUUUCUUGGCACAGUUAUAAAAUGAAUGUCAUUAUUUUACAUUUUUUACUCUUCUUUGGGGACCUGUGUACUGACUGCAGUCACUUCCGAGAGCACUGUGCCUUCCUCUGGCAAUAGGAAGCUUCCCAGCCCUGGGAACCGGAGCGAGACGUUCACAGGGAGGGAGAGGGCCAAAGGAAGAAUCACCAUAGGAAAGAGUUCUAAAAGAAAAUCCUGACCUUGGACAAAAAUGAGAGAAGAAAAGGAAUGAAAAAGUCAUAAAGAGGCAAGUGUUACCGUCAAAAGCCUACUCUCGCUGUUCUCUGACAUGGCGUGAUGUGCUCUCCCAGGGUAGGAGCUGAUGAUUUGAAGACCUCUGACUAAUAGUUUGGACGGGUUCUUUUUGUUUUUCCUUUUAGAAGGAUGAUAAUAAAAAAUUUCCUCUUCCUAAUGAUUUCGCCCCGUUUUAUAAACAUUGGGCUUUUUUCCUCCCUCCUAGCUCACAGUAUUUCUUCAACAGAAGUGGGUAGCCAUUGCUUCUCUGGGGCAGCCACGACCCACACCAGCACCCCGCCCGAGCUCCACUGCCCAGCCUUGGAAGUUCUGGCCAGUUCAGUAGUCUGCCAGCAGAGGACAGGACGUUACGGGGAAGACAGCAGGAUCUACAAGUGACAGAACUGAAACAGCAUCCGUCUGAAGAGGUCCUGCACACUAAUAAAGCCUCUUGCAGAGAAAAAGUUUGAAUGGAGACUUUCCUAGAAAAGCUUGCCCAAGAGCCCUGAAGACUCUGAUGAGGUGUUUCUAGCCCUCUAUCCACUUCUCACCCAAAUGUAGACACUCAACACAUCUUCUCCCUCAAGAAAGUAUGUGCAAAUGUGAAGGACAAACUAAAAGGUGGGCAGCAGAUGAGAGUGGGAGUGUCCUCUGUCCACCUGAGCUCUGCCUCCCUAAGCAAAGGAACGCUUGGCACACCUCCAAACCUGCAGCUGUCUCCUCCCCAGAGCUAGCAGCAUGAAACUGUGCUUUCGUGGGCCUACCAAGCAGUGUGUGGGUGAGAUGACUUUGCUGAGCUCUCUCUUUUUGGCUCCUGUCACCAUGGGAGAACAGUUGGAGCAACUACUGCAAAAAGGGCCAAUUGACCAAUCCAAGAAAGAGAGAGCCAGUGAUGUGCUUUUUAUUUCGCUUUCAGCAUGCCCAGAGCCCUUCAGCAGCAGGCAAUAAAACAGAACUCAUUUCCGCUUAA
Molecule: non-coding RNA, 1933 nt
Organism: Miniopterus natalensis
Lineage: Eukaryota; Metazoa; Chordata; Mammalia; Chiroptera; Miniopteridae
Source: RefSeq, a predicted model, not a curated record